UGUGAAUCAUCGAAUCUUUAGAACGCACAUUGCGCCCUAUGGUAUUCCAUAGGGCAUGCCUGUUUGAGCGUCAUUUCUCUCUCAAAUCUUCGGAUUUGGUUUUGAGUGAUACUCUUAGUCAGACUAAGCGUUUGCUUGAAAUGUAUUGGCAUGAGUGGUACUAGAUAGUGCUGAACUGUUUCAAUGUAUUAGGUUUAUCCAACUCGUUGACCAGUAUAGUAUUUGUUUAUUACACAGGCUCGGCCUUACAACAACAAACAAAGUUUGACCUCAAAUCAGGUAGGACUACCCGCUGAACUUAAGCUUAUCAAUAAGCGGAGGAAUC
Molecule: ribosomal RNA, 325 nt
Filed under: uncultured fungus
Lineage: Eukaryota; Fungi
Also listed under: 1 other name
Description: eukaryotic LSU rRNA
Rfam family: 5.8S ribosomal RNA (bases 1-73)
Source: RNAcentral